GACAGAGGAGCCAAGCGUUGUCCGGAUUGACUGGGCGUAAAGAGCUCGUAGGCGGUCUGUCGCGUCUGCUGUGAAAACUCAGGGCUUAACCCUGAGCUUGCAGUGGGUACGGGCAGACUAGAGUGCGGUAGGGGAGACUGGAAUUCCUGGUGUAGCGGUGAAAUGCGCAGAUAUCAGGAGGAACACCGAUGGCGAAGGCAGGUCUCUGGGCCGAUACUGACGCUGAGGAGCGAAAGCGUGGGGAGCGAACAGG
This 253-nucleotide ribosomal RNA is filed under the name uncultured bacterium. Its description in RNAcentral is "partial 16S ribosomal RNA". It matches the Rfam family "Bacterial small subunit ribosomal RNA", at positions 524 to 776 of the family's 1533-position model. The record is from RNAcentral.